Molecule: ribosomal RNA, 372 nt
Filed under: uncultured organism
Description: partial 16S ribosomal RNA
Rfam family: Bacterial small subunit ribosomal RNA
Source: RNAcentral
GUAGGUGGCAAGCGUUGUCCGGAAUUAUUGGGCGUAAAGCGCGCGCAGGCGGUCCUUUAAGUCUGAUGUGAAAGCCCACGGCUCAACCGUGGAGGGUCAUUGGAAACUGGGGGACUUGAGUACAGAAGAGGAAAGCGGAAUUCCAAGUGUAGCGGUGAAAUGCGUAGAGAUUUGGAGGAACACCAGUGGCGAAGGCGGCUUUCUGGUCUGUAACUGACGCUGAGGCGCGGAAGCGUGGGGAGCAAACAGGGAUUAGAUACCCUGGUAGUCCACGCCGUAAACGAUGAGUGCUAAGUGUUAGGGGGUUUCCCGCCCCUUAGUGCUGCAGCUAACGCAUUAAGCACUCCGCCUGGGGAGUACGCCGCAAGGCUG